UUGAACGCUGGCGGCAUGCCUUACACAUGCAAGUCGAGCGCCCAGCAAUGGGAGCGGCAGACGGGAUAGUAACACGUGGGAACGUACCCUUCAGUUCGGAACAACCCAGGGAAACUUGGGCUAAUACCGAAUACGUCCGUAAGGAGAAAGAUUUAUCGCUGAAGGAUCGGCCCGCGUCUGAUUAGCUAGUUGGUGAGGUAAUGGCUCACCAAGGCGACGAUCAGUAGCUGGUCUGAGAGGAUGAUCAGCAUCACUGGGACUGAGACACGGCCCAGACUCCUACGGGAGGCAGCAGUGGGGAAUAUUGGACAAUGGGCGCAAGCCUGAUCCAGCCAUGCCGCGUGGAUGAUGAAGGCCCUAGGGUUGUAAAGUCCUUUCGACGGGGAAGAUAAUGACGGUACCCGUAGAAGAAGCCCCGGCUAACUUCGU
This 429-nucleotide ribosomal RNA is filed under the name uncultured bacterium. RNAcentral describes it as "bacterial SSU rRNA". It matches the Rfam family "Bacterial small subunit ribosomal RNA", at positions 30 to 506 of the family's 1533-position model. The record is from RNAcentral.